GUAUGGAUGUGAAGUCUGCAAGGUGUGAGGUUCUACACUUGGAAAAAGUCUGAAUGUCUCUUCAUCCAUUUGGCCUGUACUUUGUAAGUGGUGAGUAAAUCUCUUUGAUAUGUAAAUGCCAUUAGCUUUGUUCUAGUAUCAUAUCCAAAUGAAGGACAAAAAACAUUCAUAUUUACCCCACAGAAUAAUAAUUAAGCCUCAUUUUUGUUAUAUUUGGAAUGUGACAAGCGCCAUCUUCUAACCAAGUCCAAACAUGAGUGGCCUAACUUGACCCUAGGGAAAGGAAUUGUGAUGUCCGUCCUAUUGGAUCGUGGGUGGGACGUGCAACAUGUCUAUGGAAUGGGAAAAUAAUAACAAAUUUGUAGAUGCAAUUAUUAUUUCUG
This is a non-coding RNA of Pelobates cultripes (western spadefoot toad), 383 nucleotides long. NCBI's taxonomy places the organism in Eukaryota, Metazoa, Chordata, Amphibia, Anura, Pelobatidae. The record is from the annotation of a GenBank genome assembly.